UUUUUUACUACACUACAUAUGUUGGUAAAGCAUUUACCUAAGUUAUGGAAAAUUCAUAAUUCAUCAGUUAUUUUAGAUAAUACUAAAAACAAGGUAGAGUAA
This 102-nucleotide ribosomal RNA is filed under the name Triticum aestivum (bread wheat). Its description in RNAcentral is "partial small subunit ribosomal RNA". The record is from RNAcentral. Lineage: Eukaryota; Viridiplantae; Streptophyta; Magnoliopsida; Poales; Poaceae.